CAAUCAUCCAUUGUUCCUGUUCGGGGAAGAAAGGAAGGCUGAAGCUGGAGACUCCAAAAAGCUGGACCAGAUUUUUACAAUUUUCCUUUAUCGUGAAGUGCCCACAGAUUAUAAUUCCCUGAGGGUAGGACCCAGCAUCCCAGUUCCUGGGUACCAAGAUGGAGCUGGAGGAAGAUUCAGCCCUCCCUGGCAGCUUCUUCGGCCUGGUGGAAAGGCUGGAGCUUCAGGGUAUUUAGUCUGGCGACCCAGAGAGCCACUCAGCUGCGCCUUUCCCAUGCCCCUGUCUCAGCCGAGAGGGCUCAGAGAAUGGCCUCCUGUGGCAGCUGCCCUGGACGGAGUCCCCUGCCCUUUCGGCUCCUGACAUCAGGGUGCAGUGAUGCAGGUCCCUCUGCACUUCUGGGGAAUAAAUAAAUACAGUGGAGCUUUUCUCA
Long non-coding RNA from Bos indicus x Bos taurus (hybrid cattle), 431 nucleotides. The record is from Ensembl. NCBI's taxonomy places the organism in Eukaryota, Metazoa, Chordata, Mammalia, Artiodactyla, Bovidae.